UGAUAGCUGUGAAGCGUGAGGUUGCUGCCGAAGGCGCCAUAACCGGAUGGCAGGUUUUCCGUGGAGCGAAUGUCAAGUUAGGAAACUGGCGACAA
RNAcentral lists this non-coding RNA (95 nucleotides) under bovine gut metagenome. RNAcentral describes it as "S10-Clostridia ribosomal protein leader". It matches the Rfam family "S10-Clostridia ribosomal protein leader". The record is from RNAcentral.